AAUAAAUUAAAACCGUAAAUUGCGCUGUAAAUAUUUAUUUUUGGAAUUUUGGUUUAAUUGCCCUUUUCCGGUCGUUUAAACGGUUAUAAAGCGACACGGAUAUUUCCAAUUUAUUUUUUUAUUACCCGGUAUUGGCGGCGAAAAACGGUUUUUAAACGGUUUCGUAUUUUAAAAUUAACGGGAAAAAGGUAUAACCAAUGUUAUAUACCGUGGAAACGGUUUGGAAAACCUGUUUGGGGCGGAAAAUAAAAUUAAUUGCGAAAAUUGUAAUAUAUAUAUAUUAAUAAAAUAAACAAAAUCGGUAUUUACGGUAAUAUUAAUUUGGAAAUUUGUAUUACCAGUUAAAAUUGGUUUUUUAUCGACGAAUUAUAAUUGUAAAAAUUGUAAAUCGGUUUUUUUCCUUUUUCCAGGGCGUUUUUUAACCGCCGGAACGUUUUCCGGCGUAAAACCGAAACCCUCCAAAUAUUUUUUUUAUUAUAUUUUAAUCCCGUUAUAUAUAUUUUUUAUUUUUCACGAACGUUAAAUAAUUUGAUUUUUAUCCCUAUACCACGUAUUUUUAACGAAUUUUAUUUAUUAAUAUAAAGUUAUUUUUUCGAUUAACGUUUAUUUGGUUUCGUAAACGACCCGCAUAUUUUUUAACGUAUUAGCGGUUUGGAAUUAUUUAUUUUUUAAUUUUAACAUUAUUUUAAUUUUAUAAUUUAAAACGCGCUAAAAACGUUUCUGGUUAUUUAUUUGUUUUUGGGCAACGCGUUACCGUAAAAUAAUCGUUUCGUUAAUAACGGUUUAUAAAUCCGAAAUAAUAUUAACGGUAUUUAAAUUAAAAUAAUACGUUUUGGCCGCCAUACGGUUUGCCGUAUAUUUGGCCCGUAAAAAUCGGUUAACGGUGGGAAAGAAAUCCGGAUAUCGCGGUAUAUUUGUUAUUAUAGCGUGGCCACGCAAUUUGGCAAAUAUUUUGGUACCGUCGACAAAAAAUAAAUUUAUAUUUUGGAGACCGUUUAUUACGUAACCAAUUGUAAAAAGAUUUUACCAGCAGCGUUAAAUUAAAAAAAAUAUAUUAAUUUACCGUUAAAUUAAUUUGUAAAUCGAAAACGAUUUAUUCGAAUUGUAAUAACGAAAUUUAAACGGGUAAAUACCGGAAUAUUGGUAUUUAUAUAUUUAUAUAGGACCGUUUGCAAUUCGUUUUUUAGGUAAAUAAAUACGGAUAUAUUUAUAAAUUAUAUAUAGUACGUUAAGUAAAACGGUAAAAUAACGAUUUCGAUAUUAAAUUUAAAAUAAUAAUUAAAUAUUUUUAUGCCAAAAUGGCCGGUAAAACCGUCAAAAAAAAACCACCUCCAAAUAUAUAUUUUGGCCCGUUAUAAAUUUGGAUCGAUUUUGGCCGUAAUGCGGUUUACAAAAUCGAAUUUAACGUUAAAAUUAUAACCAAACCAUUUUUUUAACGUGGGAAAUCCGAUCGAUUGCACGGUAAUAAUUUUUGGUUACAAAUAUUGGUUAAAAAAUUAUAUUUAAAUAAAUUGGAUAUUUCCGUUGGAAAACCCCGUUUUUUAACCGCGUAAAAAUAAUAUUUUUAAACAAAUCCAAAUUAAACCAAUCGUUUGUUGGCUAUAUUGUAAAAAUAUAAAAGGGCGGUAACGAUUGCCCAAUAACGUUACCACCGUUUAUUAACGUAUAAUUUUUACGGUUAAUUAGAUCCGCGGUGCGUGGUUUUUUAUAUUUUUUUUCGUUACAAUUAAUACCGGUAUCCGGCCAUUUUUUAUACCGAUUUUAAUACCGUAUUUAUUAACGUUCCAAACCGUUAAAAUUGUAAUCCCAAAUUUUACCGCACGAACCGCCGUGCGGCAAUACCAAUUUUCCAUAAAAUCGAUUUAUUAUUUCCAAUUAAAACAAAUAAUUUCGACGGAUUAUUAUUUGGUAAAUUGCAUUUCCGGGUAUUUUUUAUACCAACGGCCGUACUAAUUUAUUUUAAUUGGACUACAGGGCGGUAUACGUAAUUAACGUAUUAAAUUGGCCGCAAAUAUUACAUAUUAUACAUCGGAAUAUAUACCAAAUUCAUUAAAUUGCAUAAUAUAUGUAACGAAAAUUUAAUUUUUAAUAUUAUUUAAUAUUAAAGGCCGCCCGCUGCGUUAUAUUAAUAAUUUAGGUGCGCCAUUAAUUAAAAAAUUACGCGCAUACCGUUAAAUAUUUAAAUACGGGUAACCGUAUUUUUUACAAAACGCCCGUAGCAAUUUUGGUUUGGAUUUGCCUUCCCGCGCGGUAUUUGCCCUAUUGCGGUAAAUUUCGAAAUAUCGGGCGUAUAUGCGGGCGUUUAAAAUAGCGGGAAAUUUUGGGGACGUUAUAAUAUAAAUAUAUUUGCGGUAAAUGCAAUUGUGUUAUUAUGGAACGGGUUUAUAUUCGGUAUAAGUUAAACUGUUAACGAUUUCCUAGGUAAAAAACUAAUGCGGGGUGGCCCACGGUUUUGUUAAAAAUCAAGGUUUUGUAACCCCCUUUUUGGGGGGGCCCACAACGGACAGCCUCCAAGUAAGCCAAAUUUUAAAUAUAGCUCCGAAUUUUUUUUAAAAAUUACCGCCGCGCCUGCAAAAUUCUAUUAGGUUUGAAAAGUUUUUUGGCAAAUUUUUAAACAUUUUCCGAAAUAUUAAUAAUUUAUCCUAUAUUAUUUUAUAUAAUAAUUUAUAUAAAAAUCGUUUUUUUACCAGUUAGGUUUUUCUUUUAAGUUUAAUUUCAGAUUAAUAUUGGGCUUUGAACAUUUAAUCUUUCGGUUUUUUUUUCUAAAAAAACUUUA
Molecule: small RNA, 2776 nt
Filed under: Pyricularia oryzae
Lineage: Eukaryota; Fungi; Ascomycota; Sordariomycetes; Magnaporthales; Pyriculariaceae
Description: Magnaporthe oryzae sRNA M_BR32_EuGene_00131321
Source: RNAcentral